Molecule: long non-coding RNA, 1147 nt
Filed under: Oryctolagus cuniculus (rabbit)
Lineage: Eukaryota; Metazoa; Chordata; Mammalia; Lagomorpha; Leporidae
Description: lncRNA (ENSOCUG00000032495.1)
Source: RNAcentral
AAACAUAUGGAGAUGCCUAUAUAAAAAAGCCUGGAAGAAUAUUAAUAGCACCAGGCCCUGUUGUGAGUGUUUUAUAUGCAUCAUCUUGUUAAUAUCCAUGGCUGUCCUAGGAGGUGGGUGUAGAGAAGUGACAUGACUCACUUAAAUUCAGAAGACAGGGGGAGGAUGUGAACCCAAGCAGUCUACUGGCAGAGCUCAUGUGCUAAAUAAGUGUGCUCUGGUGCAUUUCCCUCCAACUGUUAGCAUGCUUAUUGAAAUGUGUGAUCAUAGUGGUUUAAAUUUCCUCUUUCAUUCUUUUUUGAGACUAAGUUUUCUUUAAUAAACCAAUUGCAUUUAUAAAGAGCUAAGUGACAUCAGGCAGCACAACAUAGUGGCUGGAAGUCAGUGUCUGGAUCAGAUCUCUGCUGGUACCAACCUGAGCUUUCCCCCUUACAAUCUGAGUGACCUUCAGUGAUUGUCUUACCUCUCAAAGCUUCGGUUUCCUCAUUUGUAGGGUAGGAUGAGACUCUCCACCUCAUUACUGUGACUACUCCAUGACUCAACUUAGACAAGACUAGUAUGGUGUUCAGGCAAUGCUUGAAUAUUUUAUAGAUAGCAAAUUAAGUAUUAGUUGAAUAAGUGAGUAGGCAGACUGCUGGGAAAUCACAUGGUCACAUUUUGCACUCAGAUAGCAGAGCAGAGGCAUCUCUCUUAUGCCCAAGAUGAGGCUGAAUUGUGAUGGAAGCUGCUAGACAGGACAACAGUGGACUGGGGAGGAAUUGAGAAUGCCAGCAUUGCGAAGGCCUUUUGCUGAAGGUUUCUUUCCUCUAGGAAUUGGAGAAACAUAAUUAGAAGCUUAGGGCCUGAUUAGGCACCGCAGUCAGUGGCAAAUCCCCCUGCUCCAGUCUUCUAAUUGCCUUUCUUGGGCAGAAGAUUCAGCCCAGGAUAGGGCAGAAAGCAGCGUUUAUUAUUGCAUGCUCCUGGGUUGCUGUGACUCACGAGCUGCAGUUGCUGAACGUAUGUAUCUAUUUCUCUCUCUAGCUCUGCAAAGCACCACUUCUAUGCUGCCUUCUGCCCACACUCAGUCCAGACUUCUAGACGGGGGAGGGACAUUCGUGCUCUUGAAGUAAAACAUAAAGAGGAGCUGCGCAAGCUGCAGGGUCUGCGC